This is a long non-coding RNA of Drosophila pseudoobscura, 665 nucleotides long. RefSeq lists it as uncharacterized. The transcript has 2 exons. Lineage: Eukaryota; Metazoa; Arthropoda; Insecta; Diptera; Drosophilidae. The record is from RefSeq and is a predicted model, not a curated record.
UCUCCAAGUUGUGAGAACUCUUUCCAAGCCGAUUGGAGCAGUUCCAUCCGUGAGGUGACCUGCGCCGUUGUAGUUGGUUCCUCCCGUUCAGCCCAAGCCAAUGCGCGUGUGAUAAUUGCCCUUGAGUCUGCCACGGGCUUUUACCAAUGCCUUUAAUUGUUCCAUUGUAAACAAUUUUCAAUUAACACCAAAGCACACAAAACUGUUCAAGAAUCCGGCUCGAAGGACCAAAGAAUGUUCGCAAAUAAUAUGCUCGACGGAUUUGAUUCUAGUGGACUGUAUUUAUUUUGUUCUUGUCCAGUUCGAUGUCUAUUUGGUACUGAAAAAUGCCGUCGCAGCGUCGCGAUGGACUUGUUAUACGUUCCUCAACAGAAAGUAAGAGGGAGGAGAGAGAAUAUAAAUGAGCGAAGGGUCGAUUUUAGAGGAUUUUACAUGGGUGAGAAAGAGGAUUGAGAUCGAAGUUAGUUUACAUUAUCACCGAUAGGUGAUAGGUGUGGCAGGCCGGAUCGCAGCCCCUCAGCAACACUGAUCUUAGAGUCGUUCGCUGGUGUGGCAGCACCGGCGACUCUGCCAAGCGGUCUGGCAUCUUGAUAUCUGACUUCGACGCUAAGCACAAUGAAUGUAGUUUAAAUAAUAAUUAAUAAAGAUCCACAAUAAGAACUCAA